AAGCUUAAUCUUGGCCCUUCUUUCCUUAUCAUUCUCACAAUCUCCCCAUCUUUCUAUCUCUUCUUCCAUUUCAUUUGAACCCUGCUCCGACCUCCAUUUCAACCGCUUUCACCCAAGUAAACAUACUCUGUCUUAUAUACACACAGAUUAUAUAAAGGCUUCAUUGACAACUCUUUGCUACUACUUAUAACUUGUUUCUGUCACUUUCUAUCUUUCUAUCUGCUGCGUGAGGCAAGAGAAUGGCUCCUAGCAAGAAUGGAAGAGGGAAGAGAGACAAAAAGAAAAAAGAAGAGAAGGUUCUUCCUGUGUUGAUGGAUGUUGGUGUCAAUCUUCCUGAUGAGACUCAAGUGGUUCUGAAGGGAAUAUCAACGGACAGGAUCAUAGAUAUAAGCCGUCUGCUAUCAGUGAAUACACAAACUUGCCACAUCACCAAUUUUUCCUUAUCUCACGAGGUAAGAGGAGCACAGUUAAAAGACACUGUAGACGUUGCCGCACUGAAGCCUUGCAUAGUCACUCUAAUUGAAGAGAAGUACGACGAAAAGAGUGCGACGGCUCAUGUUAGAAGGUUGUUAGACAUAGUUGCUUGCACCACAAGCUUCGGAUCUUCAGGAAAGAAGGAAGAUUCCGGCAAAAAUGUGGUCUCGAAGAAGUUGCCAACGGAGAAAAACUCGUCGAAAGAUGUGUCAGUGGAUGGAGAAAUAGGCAAUUCGUCCCCGAGCAUCAGUAGCUUUUAUGAAUUCUUCUCGCUCUCUCAUGUCACUCCUCCACUUCAGUUCAUAAGGAGAUUGGAAAGGCAGCAGAAGGAUGGAACAUUUGCUGAUCAUCUCUUCUCUCUGCAAGUGAAAGUUUGCAAUGGGAAGCUAAUCAAUGUUGAAGCUUGUCGUGAAGGAUUUUACAGUGCUGGAAAGCACCGGAUUCUAUGCCACAAUCUUGUUGAUUUGCUACGACAGCUGAGUCGGGCCUUUGAUAAUGCAUAUGAUGAUCUUAUGAAAGCAUUCUUGGACCGCAAUAAGUUUGGGAAUCUCCCAUAUGGUUUCAGAGCUAAUACAUGGCUCAUUCCUCCUAUUGCUUCACGUUUACCACCAGUUUUUCCUCCUCUACCAGUGGAGGAUGAAACAUGGGGAGGAAAUGGAGGCGGCUUCCGAAGAGAUGACAAAAGCGAUUUUUUACCUUGGGCUAAUGAAUUUCUCUUUGUGGCAUCUAUGCCUUGCAAGACAGCUGAGGAGAGACAGAUUCGAGACAGAAAAGCUUUCAUUUUACACAGCCUAUUUGUUGACGUUGCCAUUUUUCAAGGCAUAUUGGCCAUGCAAAAUGUUAUAGAAAAAUCAAGUUUUAACGGUUCAGAUGUCAAAGCCGAACCUCAUAUGGUGAGAGUGGGGGACUUGAGCAUAACAGUCAUGAGAGAUGCUCUCAACGCCAGCUGCAAGUUAGAUACCAAAAUUGAUGGAGCUUAUACAACUGGGGUAGUGAAGAAGGAUUUGGUUGAAAAAAACCUUCUGAAAGGGAUUGCAGCUGAUGAGAAUACUGCUGCCCAUGAUGUAUCCACUCUGGGUGUUGUCAAUGUCAGAUAUUGUGGGUACAUUGCUGUCGUGAAAGUUGUGGUGGAUGACAACAUCAAAUUAAGUCCUCCGUCAGAAAGCAUCGAGCUUCUUGAUCAGCCAGAUGGUGGUGCCUGUGCCCUCAAUAUCAACAGUUUGAGAAAGCUUCUUCAUAGAAGAACAGGUCAUGAAGAUAAUAAAAUCCAACCAGAUUUACAUAAGUCGGAAUAUGCUGAAAUCAAUUCUGCUCAGAAAUUUGUGGAAAAUAUUUUAAAAGAAAGUCUGAGUAAGCUUGAUGAAGAGGAACUGAAAGGCCACACAUGUUUAAGGUGGGAACUUGGAGCCUGCUGGAUACAGCAUUUGCAGGAUGAGAAAAAAUCGGAAAACGAAAAGAAAUCGUCUGCUGAGAAGACAAAAAGUGAGGUAGAGGUUGAGGGUCUUGGUACAUCUCUUCGGUCCAUUAGAAACAAAAAAAAGAAACCAAACAGGAGUAAAGACAAUUUAAGUUUGACCGCAAAUGGUAUCAAUGGAGAGAUAGACAAUAUUAUUCUUCCUUCUUCAGAGUCCCAACUUGAGGUAAAUACCAAUGAAAAUGAGGUAGCACUGAGGAGGUUGAUAACUGAUGACGCCUUUACUCGACUAAAAGAGUCAGGAACUGGACUCCACUGCAAGUCUUUGCAAGAGCUAAUUAUUUCGUCCCAGAAAUAUUAUGACGAGGUUGCACUACCAAAACUAGUUGCAGAUUUUGGUUCCUUGGAACUCUCCCCAGUAGAUGGAAGGACCCUGACUGAUUUCAUGCAUACACGAGGUCUUCAUAUGCGUUCUCUAGGACAAGUGGUUAAGUUAUCAGAAAAGCUAUCGCAUGUGCAAUCUCUCUGUAUACAUGAGAUGAUAGUACGAGCUUUUAAGCAUAUUCUUCAGGCUGUGAUUGCCAAUACUGUUAAUAUAAAUGAAAUGGCUGUGGUUAUUGCUUCUGCAUUAAAUUUGAUGCUCGGAGUUUCUGAUAGUGAACAAUCAGAUGAGUGUAGUGGGAUUGAUCCUCUUGUCUGGAGAUGGCUAGAGGUAUUUAUAAAGAAACGUUAUGAAUGGGACCUUAGCAUCAAGGAUUUCAAAAAUGUAAGGAAGUUCGCAAUUCUUCGUGGAUUAAGCCACAAGGUGGGUAUUGAGCUAGUUCCAAGAGAUUAUGAUAUGAAUUCUCCAAGACCUUUCCAGAAAGUAGACAUUAUUAGUCUAGUACCCGUGCAUAAGCAAGCAGCAUGCUCAUCUGCAGAUGGACGGCAGCUCCUGGAAUCAUCAAAAACAGCUUUAGAUAAGGGAAAGCUUGAAGAUGCUGUCAGCUUUGGUACAAAGGCUCUUGCAAAGCUGGUUGCAGUUUGUGGUCCCUACAAUAGGAUGACAGCAGGAGCUUAUAGUCUUCUUGCUGUAGUUUUGUAUCAUACAGGAGACUUCAAUCAGGCCACAAUUUAUCAGCAAAAGGCAUUGGAUAUUAAUGAAAGGGAAUUAGGACUAGAUCAUCCUGAUACAAUGAAGAGUUACGGGGAUCUUGCUGUGUUCUAUUACAGACUUCAGCAUAUGGAGCUCGCUCUGAAGUAUGUGAAGCGUGCACUGUAUCUGUUACAUCUCACUUGUGGCCCAUCUCAUCCAAAUACUGCUGCAACAUAUAUCAACGUAGCUAUGAUGGAGGAGGGACUAGGAAAUGUACAUGUUGCCCUUAGAUAUUUACAAAAAGCACUGAAGUGCAACCAACAGUUACUUGGCCCAGACCAUAUACAGACUGCAGCAAGUUACCAUGCUAUAGCAAUCGCACUUUCCUUGAUGGAAGCUUAUCCUCUGAGUGUUCAACAUGAGAAAACAACCUUGCAGAUUCUCAGAGCAAAGCUGGGCCUAGAUGACCUGCGCACACAGGAUGCUGCCGCUUGGCUCGAGUACUUUGAGUCAAAGGCUUUUGAACAGAAAGAAGCUGCACGAAAUGGGACUCGAAAGCCUGAUGCUUCUAUUGCCAGCAAAGGCCACUUGAGUGUGUCAGAUUUGCUUGACUACAUUAGUCCAAGUACUGGUGCCAAAGGAAAGAAUGCUGCGCUACAGAAAAGGAAAAAUUAUAUAUCAAAGAUGAAAGAAAAAGCUUACGAGAAUUCUGGUUUGGAAAGUUCUAAGGGAUCUCCGAAAGAUAUGGCUCAAGAUUUCGCUGAACAAAAACAAUUUCCUGAACCUGUAGAUGAUAUUAAUGGGAAAACUGAGUUCACAGAUCCACCUGUUGGGUAUGAAAAACCACUUGAGGAGGAGCCUGCUCCAUCACAGCCUCUUUUGGAGGAAAGUGCUCCAGAAAAAACUGCUAUUGCUGUUGAUGUCUUACCUGAAUCACAGUGUGAAGGAGAAGAUGAAUGGCAAUCUGUUCAAAGACCAAGAUCAGGUCGCUCAUACGGACGACGACUAAGGCAGCGGAAAGCGGCUAUGAGCAAGGUUUACCCUUAUGAGAAGAAAGAUGUGAACUCUGAACCAGAAAUAUUAAGAACAGGGAAUACUUAUCAAAGUAGUAAGCAUCAGAUGCUAAAGAAACGAAUUUUGUCUCCCGGAAGUUAUGUUGAGCAGCACUCAGCAAAAAGUCCCUUUCAGGGUAACAAAUUUGGUCGGAGAACUGUGCAAGCUGUAAGAUACAGAGUGAAGUCUGUUCCAUCCACCAAGGAUUUGACAUUUGAGAAAUUGAACAUUGGCGAAGAAGAAGCUUUAGAAUCCAGACCUGUUUCUAUGGAAAGAGAAGUGAGCCUAUCAAUGAAAAGCUCAAUAAUUGGCCUCGUAAAAUCACCCUCGUACAAAGAAGUAGCACUGACGCCACCAGGUACUAUUUCAAUGCUGCAAGUCCGGGCAUCGGAGGAUGACUUUCCUGCAAAAGAGGAACUCAUUGUAAGAGAUGAAGAAACCAGUAAAGCAGGAGAUAAGAAAUUUGGCUCAACUGUUGUUAAUCCAGAAAAAACAUAUUCAACUGAUAAGGAUGAGGAUAAUCAAUCCAAGGCAGUACCUCGUAAUGUGGAAAUGACUCAAUCCAGCACUGCUAAGAAUUUUCAAGUUGCACCUAGGAUUUUUGAAGGUAAAGAUCCUUCAUACUCCACUUCACAAGGAGAAAAGGAUUCAAAUGAAAUCCCUUCUCUUCCAUGUGAUAUUGGUACUCGAGAUAUCUCCAAGAAGUUGUCUGCAUCGGCUGCUCCAUUCAAUCCUUCGCCAACUGCGACACAAAUUCCUCCUUUUCCCUUGAGUAUAGUUCUUCCUCCAGGGCCUGGUUCUGUUCCAGCUGUUGGUCUGUGGCCAAUAAAUAUGAAUCUUCAUCAAGGGACGGCUGUUAAUUUCUCAAGCCCAACCAUUUUAAACUCUCUGCAGUAUGUCUACCCUCCGUAUAUUCAUUCACGACCAUUACAAGGUCCAAUUUGGUCUGGCUGCCAGCCAAUGGAGCUCUCUGUCCCAUUACCUGUUAUGGAGCCAAUUGCUGAACCCUUUUUGGAAUCAAAUGAAGUGUCUGAAAGUUUAGUUAGCUGUAGAAGUUCGGAUUUGGAUUUGUCAUAUAAUAUUGAUGUGACGAACCAAACUAAGAGCGAAGCAGAUGUUAGUGAGAACCUGAAUGACGGGUUACAGUCAGAAGCUGUGCAAGAAGUUCCUAAACCAGAUUUACAUGGUGUUCCAUGUCCAGAGUAUUCAAUGGAUGACAAUAAUAAUUCACAUAUAUAUGCUGGAAGCAGUGGUGACAAUUGUGUGCCAGGUAACAUCAAUAUUUUGAUUAACAUCAAUAUUUUGAUUAAGGGAAGAAAAAACCGCAAUCAGACUCUGAGGAUGCCAACAAGUUUACUUAAGCGGCCUUAUAAUUCCCAGUCCUUUAAGAUCAUUUAUAGCAGAGUAAUUAAAGAGACUAAAGCUCACAAGUCCCCCAGCUUUUCUUCAGACAAUGUAAGUACUCUUUGUGCCGCCUGAGAUGUUCACAAGUAUGCAAGAUGACCAGAAAAUAGAGAAUGAUAGAUCUGUUGCUAUACAACUUACACAAUGAAACUAGAUUUCUUGAUGUGGAGCUUCAUGGAAUUUUGACCCUUCUCUUUUACUGUUUUGAGGCCUACUACAGGAAGUUCUAGUCGAGCGAUUUUGAGAGGUUCUUUUCGGAAAUGAUACAAUUCAGUUGGACAGUUCUGUUUUAUUUACUUUUUCUUUUUGGUUCACAAAAGAGGACUGACAUGUAGUUUCUGAUAUCUUAUAAUAGCAUAGACCAGAAAGUUGAGUUUUA
This is an RNA transcript of Daucus carota subsp. sativus, 5799 nucleotides long. It is a transcript of the gene named protein REDUCED CHLOROPLAST COVERAGE 1, with no coding region annotated. The transcript is spliced from 25 exons. The record is from RefSeq and is a predicted model, not a curated record. NCBI's taxonomy places the organism in Eukaryota, Viridiplantae, Streptophyta, Magnoliopsida, Apiales, Apiaceae.